RNAcentral lists this ribosomal RNA (254 nucleotides) under uncultured bacterium. RNAcentral describes it as "partial 16S ribosomal RNA". It matches the Rfam family "Bacterial small subunit ribosomal RNA", at positions 524 to 776 of the family's 1533-position model. The record is from RNAcentral.
UACGGAGGGGGCGAGCGUUAGUCGGAAUCCUUGGGCGUAAAGGGCGCUGUGGCGGCCAGCGCAAGUCAGUUGUGAAAUCUCCGGGCUUAACUCGGAAAGGUCAACUGAUACUGCGCGGCUAGAGUGCAGAAGGGGCAACUGGAAUUCUCGGUGUAGCGGUGAAAUGCGUAGAUAUCGAGAGGAACACCUGCGGCGAAGGCGGGUUGCUGGGCUGACACUGACGCUGAUGCGCGAAAGCCAGGGGAGCGAACGGG